This 587-nucleotide long non-coding RNA is filed under the name Ananas comosus (pineapple). Its description in RNAcentral is "long non-coding RNA (ACOM_LNC037508)". The record is from RNAcentral. Lineage: Eukaryota; Viridiplantae; Streptophyta; Magnoliopsida; Poales; Bromeliaceae.
AGAAAAAGAAAAGAUGAAGAUCAUGGAAGAUGAAGAACGAACCUGCUGAAAGCGCCGCUGCCGGAGUUCUAUCGAGAUAUGCGAAUGGCAAAGAAUGCACUGCCGGGAGUGUGCGAACGGUGAAGACGGAAAAGCCCGCCCGGGGGGUCUUUGCGCGUAGAGAGAGAGAGAAAGAGAGAGAGAAAGGGAGAGGCGGUUGUGUGUGUAAUGCGUGAAAAAAAAAAGGGGAAAGAGGAAUUAGGGUUAGGGAAAGGGGUCUUCGGGCGUAGAGAGAGAGAGAGAGAGAAAGAGAGAGAGAGAGAGAGAGAGGCGGCUUUGUGUGUAUAAUAAUAAUAAUAAUAAUAAUAAUAAUAAUAAUAAUGUGUGAAAGAAAAAGGGAAAGCGAAAUUAGGGUCAGAAAAAAGAAAAGUUAAAAUUGUUGCAAUAUUAUUCGUUAAAUUUUAAUUUGACUGUCAAAAUUCUAAAUAUAAGUGGGUCUCUUUAUAAAUAAGUAGGACUUUAUUUUUUAAAUUGGGCUAAAAAAUUUAAAAAAUAAUAAUCUGUAUUAUUUAUUUAUAUAUAAAUAUAAUUAUAUGUUUAUAUAUAUA